Molecule: ribosomal RNA, 441 nt
Filed under: Penaeus sp. 221 JG-2010
Lineage: Eukaryota; Metazoa; Arthropoda; Malacostraca; Decapoda; Penaeidae
Description: partial 16S ribosomal RNA
Rfam family: Bacterial large subunit ribosomal RNA
Source: RNAcentral
GGGCCGCGGUAUACUGACCGUGCGAAGGUAGCAUAAUCAUUAGUCUUUUAAUUGAAGGCUUGUAUGAAUGGUUGGACAAAAAGCAAACUGUCUCAGUUGUAAUAAUUGAAUUUAACUUUUGAGUGAAAAGGCUUAAAUAAGUUAGGGGGACGAUAAGACCCUAUAAAGCUUGACAAUAAGCCGUUUAUAUUAUAAAUUGUUAGUAUAACUUGAUUUUAAAUGGUGUUUGUUGCGUUGGGGCGACGAGAAUAUAAAAGAUAACUGUUCUUAUAAUAUUUAAUAACAGAAAUAACUGGAAAAUUAAUGAUCCUUUCUUUAAGAUCAUAAGAUUAAGUUACUUUAGGGAUAACAGCGUAAUCUUCCUUGAGAGUUCAUAUCGACAGGAAGGGUUGCGACCUCGAUGUUGAAUUAAGGUAUCCUUAUAAUGCAGCAGUUAUAAAG